UUCAAAUGAGAGCUUCACUCUUCAUCAUGUCCUUUCUGGAAGAUGGAAAAAAGGAAGAAAAGAAAAAUGUAAACAUGCAAGACAAGGGCCGUUUGCAGUUGAAAGGAGGAACUCUGUCAUUUUUGAUAUACAGAUGCCAAACUGACAGAAGUGCUGCAUCUUCCGUCCACAGAAUAAGAUAACCUGGAGAAAGUUGUCUAUGGAGACCUACUUUGGUCAAUACCAUCCAGCAAAGGUGCAUCAUGCCUUUUAUGGUAUGCAUCAACCCACCCACCAACAGAGCGCUCAUAGACACUCUUAAGCUCUUUAUUUUAUGAGGUAGGUGUUCCUUCUUUCCAUUUAAUAAGAUGCAUUUGGAUGAAUACAGGUAAUGGGACACUUUUAAAAACAUUAACUAAUUAACCUUAUUACUAUGUUAACUAAUGAUCAUAUACCAUUGUUAUGUAUUCUGCUAUUUCUAACACCUUCGAUAUACCGUAAUUAAGGGCUGAUUCACAUUUCUGUAGAGGACUCUGGAAAUGUAUAUUUUUCAGUAAU
Molecule: long non-coding RNA, 537 nt
Organism: Pygocentrus nattereri (red-bellied piranha)
Lineage: Eukaryota; Metazoa; Chordata; Actinopteri; Characiformes; Serrasalmidae
Exons: 3
Source: RefSeq, a predicted model, not a curated record